This 2963-nucleotide small RNA is filed under the name Pan troglodytes (chimpanzee). RNAcentral's name for it is "processed transcript". The record is from RNAcentral. Lineage: Eukaryota; Metazoa; Chordata; Mammalia; Primates; Hominidae.
GUCUCCCGUUAGGAGCCGGGGAGGCAAGGCCCAGCGAACGGUCCGGGGGAACCUUAACUAUCGUUUCUGUGCCUGGACAGUAGGUUGGAGAGUGGGGUCUGAAUGAGCUACAGUAGUGAACGCCGACGGCUUGUGUUGAGGGCAGGAAAGGGUGCGCACAACUCAGCAGGUGCUUCCGCGAGAAAGGUGACUGAUACAACAACGUAGAGGACCCUGCAAUGUGGAGAGGCAUGAAACUGGAGGUCCAAAUCCGUGAGUUAACAACCAAGACGUCCAUACAGGAGAUGCAUUGGUGGAUGGGUGAAGAGAUGAUAAAACGAAAAGCCCAGAGGAGAAAUGAAGAUGCAAAGAGAAAGAAAAAAACCCCAACCAGAGAGCUGCAAGGAUAUCAGGAAGAGGGAGUGUCCGGGGACGGAGCAGAGCGCGCUUUUCCGAACGCCUUACUCCGGGCUGGGGCUGCUUUCUGCAAGCCCGUGCGGUGCACGUGAGGAGGCUUUCCUUGCGGUGGUGAAAUCAAACACACCUAAGGCGGGAGUCCUCCAGACUUUCCUCACCUGGGCAGCUUGGCCCCGGCCACCUGUGCCUCGCCCGGAGAAACUCCAACGUGCAGGGCACUGAUGGACGAGAUAGAGCACGACAUCACCAAGGCUCGGCAGAAGAAGACCAAGGUGGGAUCCUUCCGAAUCAAUCCUGAUGGGACGCAGGAGAGGAGAAAGAUCCCCCUAGCCCAGUCGGAGGCGUUCCUAACGGACCUUUUGCAGAAAGUCUGUGAGCGAAUGAACGACUACAAGCUUGAGGAAGACCCUGUGACGAAGGAGAGAACUUUCAAGAGAUUCGCUCCUAGGAAAGGAGACAAAAUAUACCAGGAAUUUAAACAAUUGUAUUUUUAUUCUGAUGCUUACAGACCUUUGAAAUUUGCGUGUGAAACUAUAAUAGAAGAGUAUGAAGAUGAAAUAUUCUCACUUAUCGCCCAGGAGACACACUAUCUAGCUGACAAGCUGUGCAGUGAAAAAUCAGAUCUGUGUGAAACUUCUGCUAAUCAUACUGAGCUCUAGGAGUGCCGUGCUGCUGGUCAUAGAGAGGAGUAAAGUCACACCCAAAGGUCAAUGUCUGUAUUUUAUGUUUGCAUGUUGUCUUUCAUGAUAAGAAAAAUUUUGUCUCUUGUUUAUACCGUGUUUGUCUCCGUUUAUGAUUCAUUUUGAAAAUCUGUUGGUUGACAUCAUGACAAACCCUGCGUUUUUUUAUAGGUGAAGCUGAGGAGUACAUGAAACUUAAAUUAACCUUUGCAGAUUUUGAUAAAUCAAGCUUGACAAUAGAGGAUUUAAUUCUGUAUUGAGGAAAAAAGUGAAGACAUUUCAUAAACAAAAUAGGGAUUUCAUAAUGUAUGCUGCUUAUUUUAUAACAGUGUAUGUGCACAUAUGCAAGCGCAGUAGCUGUCUGAUAAGAACUGGAUUUGAAUCCUCAAAUACUUGAUUGCCUACAAAUUUAAGGAAAUACAUGGCAACAAAUUCAAAAUAUGGCCUUCUGGGUGAGAUAUGGCUAUUGGUGAAAGAAACCCACUUUUUAUCAGGAAUGAAAUUUAAAUUUUUAGAAACCACAAGUUUAAAAACCCAUCUCUAAAAUUUAGUGGAAUGUGUAAAAACUAAUGAGUGCUUUAAUUUAUAGUAAACAAUAAUUAUAUUGGCCUCUCAAACACCAUUCUGAGUUUAAGUGGCUUAGAAAGUUGAUUUAUUAUUGCAUCAGGUGUUAAAAGAUGACACUAGUGAUUGCGUUUUGUUUUGCUCCAAACUCUUCUGGUUUGUUUGUUUUUCUUCUAAAGGUUUUUUUGGCUCACAUUUAGUGUGCUGAGUUUACUACUAAAUAAUCUACCAUUCUUCUACAGGAAUGGAAAAAGAGUUGGGACCUGGUGGGAAAUUAUCUUUUGGCCACACUUAAUAUACAAAGUCUAGUAACAAUCACUCCCGGAAAUUUCUUUAUCUCUGUUACAUUUGCAUUCAAUGGAAUCUGACUUUAAUGAUUAAAAAUGUCAGGGUAUGGUCUACACCAGUUUCUAAAAAGAGAUUCUCAUUGUUUUGGUGACAAUCAAGUGGGUAGGAUGCUACAAAUCCCCCCCUCCCAAGACCCAAAACUCUUUGCCAUAUUGUUACUUAGUUGCUUAAAAAGCACGUUAUGUGUUUAAAUCAUUCUCCUGACCCUUCAGCAGGAAACAAUUCUUAAAUUUAGGAAAAUUUACCAAAGCUAAGGGGAAGGGCUUUCCAUGCCCCCUCCCCACCUAAACUCUGAUUAAAAGUUAGUGAGUUAAUGUCACUUAAUUACUUGGGUGCUUCUUUUUUGUCUUGUCUGUGGCUGCUUAAGUCUGAUGGCUCCUACAUAACCCAGCGAACUCGUGCUAGAGCUGACACACCAUGGAAAUAGAACUGAAUAAUAAUUAACACUAUUUUCCAGUAGGGUAGGACAAUUGUUAUUUAAAACAUAGUCCCUAUAGCUUUAUUUAAACGUAUCUAGUUAAGGUUAAUUUGGCAUUUAAAGUAGUAAAUCAGGAACAUUCUCCUAACUUGGAUUUUCCUGGGAAAUGCACUAAACAGGACAAUUAUUCCUGAAAACCUAGUGACCUUCACAGGAACAUGGCGGGACCUGUGACACUAAGUAAGCUUCAGUGAAAACUGUUCACAGUCGUAACCGUAGAAGUGUUGCCAAAUCUGUUUCCAUACUCUCAUUGAUCAUCAUCAAACAUUCUCAAAUGUAGGCAAUGCUAACACUAAUUAUAGAAAUUAAGAAAAUGUGGGCUCCUGUUUGUAACUAAACAGACGUGGGGAGGUGCACCUCCUGUCACUGAGGGUUGCCUUUCAUUGACAGUGACGCUUUGCUUUGAAUGGAGAGGGCGAGGAACCUUGACUUACAGUGACUAAGGUUGUGCUAAAUAUGGCAUUUCAGGUUUUUUUCUUGGAUUUCCCAUUAAAAAU